This 17-nucleotide transfer RNA is filed under the name Ambystoma bishopi (reticulated salamander). RNAcentral's name for it is "partial tRNA-Thr". Lineage: Eukaryota; Metazoa; Chordata; Amphibia; Caudata; Ambystomatidae. The record is from RNAcentral.
GAAUCUUCUCAAGGUAU